Mandrillus leucophaeus (drill) is the source of this 473-nucleotide long non-coding RNA. RefSeq lists it as uncharacterized. The record is from RefSeq and is a predicted model, not a curated record. The transcript has 3 exons. NCBI's taxonomy places the organism in Eukaryota, Metazoa, Chordata, Mammalia, Primates, Cercopithecidae.
GUGCCCAGCCCGCGGGGUAGGUCGGGAAGGCAGCCCGUGGCCCCAGAUCCAGAACCGUUGGAGUGCAGAGCUUCCAGGGACGUGGAGCCGCAAAGCCAGGCCUCCUUCUUGACUGCGCCUAGUUGGAACUGGCCCUCCAGCAACUUGAACGCAGCCUCUUUUCACACUGGUAGUUCCUGAGCCUCUUGUGAAAUGAAAGAUGUUCCUCAGUCCAAGCUGAGGACAGAGAAAAGCCGUAAAGCUGACACUGGAGUUAGAAUGACUUGCCGGCACCUUUGAGCAAGAACUUUCCUGGAGUCCAAAUGUAUGACUUGAAGGAUAGUGAGCAGACAGCACUAAAAGUCAUCCAUUCGUUAUGGAUUUAGUCAUAAGACCCUCAUUUGAGAGAUGCCUUCCCCAUACCUGGAGGAAAGAAACACCCUUAUCUCUGAAGACACAGGGCCACAGAGAAGAGUCUGAACAAACAGGCUUUA